Molecule: small RNA, 154 nt
Filed under: bovine gut metagenome
Description: M-box riboswitch (ykoK leader)
Rfam family: M-box riboswitch aptamer (ykoK leader)
About the family: M-box riboswitch, also know as ykoK leader is described as a metaloregulatory RNA that sense divalent metals and function as a genetic control element of genes related to divalent metal transport in bacteria. It was first reported upstream of the B.subtilis ykoK gene and genes with related functions in other bacteria.
Source: RNAcentral
UAUCCGUUAGGUAAGGUAAGUACAGGGAUACUUUUUUAGGGUUACUGCCGCGAAAGUGUGGAGACACGCUUAGUUGGUCAGCAGGUUAUGUCGAAACCAAGGCAUAACUUAAUGUAACUUCAUCGCCCUGUAAUGCUAAAGCUCACACGGUGGC